This 583-nucleotide long non-coding RNA is filed under the name Mus musculus (house mouse). RNAcentral describes it as "RIKEN cDNA 2010309G21 gene". The record is from RNAcentral. Lineage: Eukaryota; Metazoa; Chordata; Mammalia; Rodentia; Muridae.
AAGAAGAAAACACUGAGAUAACCAACUAUGAUAAACUGCAGUUGGAAUUUAACGACCCAGUGGAUGGGAAACAAAGGGAAGAAAUGAGACUUGAAAAAACAAACAAACAGGGAGAUCAAGUGAAGGGUGGGCAGACCUCUAUUUGACUGAUGCUUGCUCCCUUUGAAGGCCACUGUCACACCACUUGGGGAAAAAUUGGAAAUCAGACACACGAGUGUGGCUUUGUUUUCCUGGAGCUCCUCAGGGGAAGGUGGAAACAUGGUGCUUCCCAGCCAUUCGGUAUUCCUCAGAAUAUCUAUUGGCACCUACUUCUACAAAAGACCAGCUGAAACAUCUAACCUGGUGGGACUGAGCAACUACUAGAUUCUUCGACUUCCCAUUCACAGUGACUUCUGGCUGUUUCCACUGACUUGGGCUGAUUGACAGAGACUCUUCUGUUUGUUCUGGAUGAACUGCCAUUGCUGAUUCAUAGAGAGAAUCUACAAGUGACUUGAGGUACUGCUGCUGAUCUGUGUGAACUGAACUGCAAAUAUUUUGACAAGAUUGGAAUUGCCCCAAAUAAAUGUUUCUAAAUAGGUCCACA